UAGGGAAUCUUCCACAAUGGACGCAAGUCUGAUGGAGCAACGCCGCGUGAGUGAAGAAGGUUUUCGGAUCGUAAAGCUCUGUUGUUGGUGAAGAAGGAUAGAGGCAGUAACUGGUCUUUAUUUGACGGUAAUCAACCAGAAAGUCACGGCUAACUACGUGCCAGCAGCCGCGGUAAUACGUAGGUGGCAAGCGUUGUCCGGAUUUAUUGGGCGUAAAGCGAGCGCAGGCGGAAUGAUAAGUCUGAUGUGAAAGCCCACGGCUCAACCGUGGAACUGCAUCGGAAACUGUCAUUCUUGAGUGCAGAAGAGGAGAGUGGAAUUCCAUGUGUAGCGGUGGAAUGCGUAGAUAUAUGGAAGAACACCAGUGGCGAAGGCGGCUCUCUGGUCUGCAACUGACGCUGAGGCUGGAAAGCAUGGGUAGCGAACAGG
Molecule: ribosomal RNA, 429 nt
Filed under: bacterium
Lineage: Bacteria
Description: partial 16S ribosomal RNA
Rfam family: Bacterial small subunit ribosomal RNA
Source: RNAcentral